RNAcentral lists this unclassified non-coding RNA (506 nucleotides) under Trichoderma harzianum. Its description in RNAcentral is "partial contains 18S rRNA, ITS1, 5.8S rRNA, ITS2 and 28S RNA". The stretch from base 177 to 330 matches the Rfam family "5.8S ribosomal RNA". The record is from RNAcentral. Lineage: Eukaryota; Fungi; Ascomycota; Sordariomycetes; Hypocreales; Hypocreaceae.
UGUGAACGUUACCAAACUGUUGCCUCGGCGGGAUCUCUGCCCCGGGUGCGUCGCAGCCCCGGACCAAGGCGCCCGCCGGAGGACCAACCAAAACUCUUAUUGUAUACCCCCUCGCGGGUUUUUUUAUAAUCUGAGCCUUCUCGGCGCCUCUCGUAGGCGUUUCGAAAAUGAAUCAAAACUUUCAACAACGGAUCUCUUGGUUCUGGCAUCGAUGAAGAACGCAGCGAAAUGCGAUAAGUAAUGUGAAUUGCAGAAUUCAGUGAAUCAUCGAAUCUUUGAACGCACAUUGCGCCCGCCAGUAUUCUGGCGGGCAUGCCUGUCCGAGCGUCAUUUCAACCCUCGAACCCCUCCGGGGGGUCGGCGUUGGGGAUCGGCCCUCCCUUAGCGGGUGGCCGUCUCCGAAAUACAGUGGCGGUCUCGCCGCAGCCUCUCCUGCGCAGUAGUUUGCACACUCGCAUCGGGAGCGCGGCGCGUCCACAGCCGUUAAACACCCAACUUCUGAAAUG